GGGCGUAAAGAGCUCGUAGGCGGUUUGUCGCGUCUGCUGUGAAAUCCCGAGGCUCAACCUCGGGCCUGCAGUGGGUACGGGCAGACUAGAGUGCGGUAGGGGAGAUUGGAAUUCCUGGUGUAGCGGUGGAAUGCGCAGAUAUCAGGAGGAACACCGAUGGCGAAGGCAGAUCUCUGGGCCGUAACUGACGCUGAGGAGCGAAAGGGUGGGGAGCAAACAGGCUUAGAUACCCUGGUAGUCCACCCCGUAAACGUUGGGAACUAGUUGUGGGGUCCAUUCCACGGAUUCCGUGACGCAGCUAACGCAUUAAGUUCCCCGCCUGGGGAGUACGGCCGCAAGGCUAAAACUCAAAGGAAUUGACGGGGACCCGCACAAGCGGCGGAGCAUGCGGAUUAAUUCGAUGCAACGCGAAGAACCUUACCAAGGCUUGACAUAUACGAGAACGGGCCAGAAAUGGUCAACUCUUUGGACACUCGUAAACAGGUGGUGCAUGGUUGUCGUCAGCUCGUGUCGUGAGAUGUUGGGUUAAGUCCCGCAACGAGCGCAACCCUCGUUCUAUGUUGCCAGCACGUAAUGGUGGGAACUCAUGGGAUACUGCCGGGGUCAACUCGGAGGAAGGUGGGGAUGACGUCAAAUCAUCAUGCCCCUUAUGUCUUGGACUUCACGCAUGCUACAAUGGCCGGUACAAAGGGCUGUAAUACCGUGAGGUGGAGCGAAUCCCAAAAAGCCGGUCCCAGUUCGGAUUGAGGUCUGCAACUCGACGUCAUGAAGUCGGAGUCGCUAGUAA
Molecule: ribosomal RNA, 787 nt
Filed under: uncultured bacterium
Lineage: Bacteria
Description: bacterial SSU rRNA
Rfam family: Bacterial small subunit ribosomal RNA
Source: RNAcentral